CAAAAAGUAGUUUAAUUUAAAAUAAAGGUUUUGGAAAUCUUUGAUAUUUCAAAAGAAUCUUUUUGA
This 66-nucleotide transfer RNA is filed under the name Arcoscalpellum epeeum. RNAcentral describes it as "tRNA-Pro". Lineage: Eukaryota; Metazoa; Arthropoda; Thecostraca; Scalpellidae. The record is from RNAcentral.